GACGAACGCUGGCGGCGUGCUUAACACAUGCAAGUCGAACGGAAAGGCCCUGCUUGCAGGGUACUCGAGUGGCGAACGGGUGAGUAACACGUGGGUGUACUGCCCUGCACUUCGGGAUAAGCCUGGGAAACUGGGUCUAAUACCGGAUAGGAGCCAUUUUUAGUGUGAUGGUUGGAAACUUUUUUCGGUGUGGGGUGAGCUCGCGGCCUAACAGCUUGUUGGUGGGGUAAUGGCCUACCAAGGCGGCGACGGGUAGCCGGCCUGAGAGGGUGGACGGCCACAUUGGGACUGAGAUACGGCCCAGACUCCUACGGGGGGCAGGAGGGGGGAAUAUUGCACAAUGGGCGCAAGCCUGAUGCAGCGACGCCGCGGGGGGGAAGACGGCCUUCGGGUUGUAAACUCCUUUCGCUAGGGACGAAGCUUUUUGUGACGGUACCUAGAUAAGAAGCACCGGCUAACUACGUG
RNAcentral lists this ribosomal RNA (465 nucleotides) under uncultured bacterium. RNAcentral's name for it is "partial 16S ribosomal RNA". It matches the Rfam family "Bacterial small subunit ribosomal RNA", at positions 28 to 507 of the family's 1533-position model. The record is from RNAcentral.